This 1136-nucleotide long non-coding RNA is filed under the name Chrysemys picta bellii (western painted turtle). RNAcentral describes it as "lncRNA (ENSCPBG00000026615.1)". The record is from RNAcentral. Lineage: Eukaryota; Metazoa; Chordata; Testudines; Emydidae.
AUUUAUUCAGAACAUCCUGAUCUUUAAAAACAAAACAACAACAACAAAAAACACCACCAUCCCAUGGUCGCAGUGACAGAAGGAUCGAAGAUUGGUCUUGAUCUUGACCUCUGAUAGAUGUGCCGGCAUCACUGUGUGUCUUGUAAAUUAACCACUUACGGGCCGGCUCUGCGGUUGCUCUGCAUUUGGGGCUCCCAUAUAAAUCAAUGGAAGAUACAUGCUACAAAAUUGGAGCCUUCAUGUGCAGGAUUAUUGCUUGCCUCCUUUCUGGAUUUCAUCCAAUUUACCAACACUGGGGAAAUCGCACCGAAGCCCCAUGCAAGUGGUGCCUUCAGUUUUCAUGAGCGAAGCCUUCUUUCUGUAAGUACCACUGUUUAUUUUGUUUUUCUCCGUGUACUUAUAUUUCUCAGGCCCUAGAGCAGGAUUGAGAGCUCAGUUCUGUAAUCAUAAAGAAUCAAAAAAGGCUUUGGUCUUCACAUCUUGUUCUAGCUAAUAGCGCAUCUUGAGACAUGCAGAACAUAAGUACAAGGCAUAGAGUGGAGUGCAAUCCAUAACAAACAGUGAAAUCAUGUGCAACUGACUUAUUUAAUCAAUUCAUUUUCUCAGGCCUGGCCACAGGUUAAAACAAUAUAUAUUCUCUCUAUUAUUUUCAUUUCACACAUUAAGGUUAUGUCACUGAUUUUUUCUACCUUUGGAUGAUACUUCAAAAGCAUAAAGAAAUGCUUUUGUGUAUACAUGAGUUAGUUCAGCCACUUUUCCCCCUUAAGAUAUCUAGGAGCAAUUCCUUUUUACUUUUGUUGUACAAGUGUUCAUAUAAUGCAAAUAUGAGGAAUUAAGCCCCCUGGCUUUUAGGGCAUAUAUAAAAGUGUUCUGGUGUUAAUUAAUUUUUACUUUUUCCAGUCCUGAAAAUUAGCUGUAAUAAUUAAGCACAAGCAUGGCGAUUCUCUCUCUAAAUCAUUGAUUAUUUUCAUGUUUAGGAUUCUUUUUUUCCCUUGAAAUAUCUUGUUUUAUGUUUGAACAUAGAUGCUAAUUGUGCUCAGUGAACCAUGUCUGAGGAUUUAUUUUAUGAAAAAGGAAUUUAUUAUAUCUCACUAGUAAAUAAUAAAUACUAAUAUGUCACAGGAAAAGUAAUUUUA